ACACACACUUAUGUGUGUGUGUGAAUUUUAAUUUCUCUUAUUCUAUUACUGGAAAGAAUAAGGAAAAAAGUGGGUGUGAUUUGUUUUUUGGGAUUCGAAGCAAACAAAAAUCGAAGGGGAGGAAGAAGAAACUGAUUUCGUGUUCAUAACUGAAAUAUGUUGUUUAAACAUCUUCAUCUAUGUGUGAUUAUAAGGACGAACACCAGUGGAGGUAAAGGGAAAGAAAAGAUGUGAAGGGAGAUUAUUAUUGCUUUACAUCUGUGGAAAGUUUUGAAGCUGAAUAUGUGCAUGCACUUGAUAACGCGUAAUAUACAAGUCAUGUACUAUGUAUGAACAAAAAGUGUAGCAAUCUGUACGUCUGAGACGAAUAUGUACAUUUGUAUUUCAUAUUAUAUGAAAUAUGUUGAUUUUAUGC
Cynara cardunculus var. scolymus (artichoke) is the source of this 415-nucleotide long non-coding RNA. RefSeq lists it as uncharacterized. The record is from RefSeq and is a predicted model, not a curated record. The transcript has 2 exons. NCBI's taxonomy places the organism in Eukaryota, Viridiplantae, Streptophyta, Magnoliopsida, Asterales, Asteraceae.